Molecule: ribosomal RNA, 364 nt
Filed under: Mantidactylus femoralis
Lineage: Eukaryota; Metazoa; Chordata; Amphibia; Anura; Mantellidae
Description: partial 16S ribosomal RNA
Rfam family: Bacterial large subunit ribosomal RNA
Source: RNAcentral
AGACGAGAAGACCCCAUGGAGCUUUAAACCCAAUUAUAUCCCUAACCCCUAUACCCAUUUAACCUCUUAGGCCUAUAUACUUGGUUUUAGGUUGGGGCGACCACGGAGUAAAACCAAACCUCCAUGAUGUACGGAACAACCUCCUUAUCUAAGAGCCACAGCUCUAAGAAUUAGCACACUAUCAUAAAAUGACCCAUUAUUGAUCAACGAACCAAGUUACCCUGGGGAUAACAGCGCAAUCCAUUUUAAGAGCCCCUAUCGACAAAUGGGUUUACGACCUCGAUGUUGGAUCAGGAUAUCCCAGUGGUGCAGCAACUACUAAAGGUUCGUUUGUUCAACGAUCAAAAUCCUACGUGAUCUGAGU